AACGAACGCUGGCGGCAUGCCUAACACAUGCAAGUCGAACGAGACCUUCGGGUCUAGUGGCGCACGGGUGCGUAACGCGUGGGAACCUGCCCUUAGGUUCGGAAUAACUCCCCGAAAGGGGUGCUAAUACCGGAUAAUGUCUUCGGACCAAAGAUUUAUCGCCUUUGGAUGGGCCCGCGUUGGAUUAGCUAGUUGGUAGGGUAAAAGCCUACCAAGGCGACGAUCCAUAGCUGGUCUGAGCGGAUGAUCAGACACACUGGGACUGAGACACGGCCCAGACUCAUACGGGAGGGAGCAGUGGGGAAUAUUGGACAAUGAGCGAAAGCCUGAUCCAGCAAUGCCGCGUGAGUGAUGAAGGCCUUAGGGUUGUAAAGCUCUAUUACCCGGGAUGAUAAUGACAGUACCGGGAGAAUAAGCUCCGGCUAACUCAGUG
This 433-nucleotide ribosomal RNA is filed under the name uncultured bacterium. RNAcentral describes it as "partial 16S ribosomal RNA". It matches the Rfam family "Bacterial small subunit ribosomal RNA", at positions 29 to 507 of the family's 1533-position model. The record is from RNAcentral.